UGUGGGAGCUGGCUUGACUGCGAUGCGGGCAACUCGGUACAUCAGGCACACCCGGUUGAUGCUAUCGCAGGCAAGCCAGCUCCCACC
RNAcentral lists this non-coding RNA (87 nucleotides) under Pseudomonas lurida. Lineage: Bacteria; Pseudomonadati; Pseudomonadota; Gammaproteobacteria; Pseudomonadales; Pseudomonadaceae. The record is from RNAcentral.